Molecule: long non-coding RNA, 930 nt
Organism: Acanthaster planci (crown-of-thorns starfish)
Lineage: Eukaryota; Metazoa; Echinodermata; Asteroidea; Valvatida; Acanthasteridae
Source: RefSeq, a predicted model, not a curated record
GUGCUUGAAGUCUGGGUGCAAACUAGACAGGCUCUCGUAUAGGGUGCCUUUACUUAACCAUACAGAGGAGUCUGUGUAAUGACAAGUCAGGCCAAAAUUCGUACAGAUGCAGAGUGGGAAAACGGCAAAAAAGGCAACUUUUUUCCUCUGGACGAGGAAAAGGCGAGUUCUCUACAAUUGGCAACCUAUACGGAAGUUUACACCUUGGACCUCUCCUAACUUUUCAGUACAGUGAAGGUCGACCCAGGUUGCAAUAUGUCUGGUAGAGAAGGGGGAAAGAAGAAACCUUUAAAACAAGCCAAGAAAGAGAAGAAAGAACUUGAUGAAUUACAGAUGAGCGCCUGCAUAUACAUCCACACCUAUAGGCCAAGGCAAGCCCUAAUCAGGACAAUCUUCAAGCUCAACUGUCACCAAAGGAGGACUUGGUUUGGAAGCAAAAGCAGAAGGAAGAAAAGAAAAAGCUAGAUGAAGCAAAAGUGAAAGCAGCUCAGAAAGGACCACUGAGUCAAGGUGGCAUUAAGAAAUCAAGGAAGAAAUAACAACAGGUGUGCCCUUGCUUCAAGAUGAGAAAAAGAUUCAUCCCAAGGAAUUGAAAGCAAAUGAACUUUAAGAUUCAUUUUAAGAAGCAAUCCUGUGUAUACCUGCAUUCUUGAAGUAGUAUGAACUCAAUAAAAUUUGACAAGAUUAUUGGGAGAGCAUUAAUAAGUAUUAUCAAUGGUUUAACCACUCAGCUCAUUUACAUUUAUAUGAAGAAAACUGGUUGAGAAAAGCCUAAUCACGAUUAUGAAUUGCGUAUGUUGGGAACAAAUAAAAACAUUUGUGUAUAAAAGCAGCAACAUUGUGACCAAUACUUGUCAUAAAGAUCAUAAAGCACAGCAAAUUUACAUCAUUGACCGUUGUGUGUUACGAUUAAAGGUGUACGUACACAUA